This 194-nucleotide ribosomal RNA is filed under the name uncultured Anoxybacillus sp. Its description in RNAcentral is "partial 16S ribosomal RNA". It matches the Rfam family "Bacterial small subunit ribosomal RNA", at positions 1190 to 1382 of the family's 1533-position model. The record is from RNAcentral. Lineage: Bacteria; Bacillati; Bacillota; Bacilli; Caryophanales; Anoxybacillaceae.
UCAUCAUGCCCCUUACUGACCUGGGCUACACACGUGCUACAAUGGGCGGUACAAAGGGUCGCGAACCCGCGAGGGGGAGCCAAUCCCAAAAAGCCGCUCUCAGUUCGGAUUGCAGGCUGCAACUCGCCUGCAUGAAGCCGGAAUCGCUAGUAAUCGCGGAUCAGCAUGCCGCGGUGAAUACGUUCCCGGGCCUU